UACGGGGGGAGCAAGCGUUGUUCGGAUUUACUGGGCGUAAAGGGCGCGUAGGCGGCCAGCGCAAGUCAGUUGUGAAAUCUCCGGGCUUAACUCGGAAAGGUCAACUGAUACUGCGCGGCUAGAGUGCAGAAGGGGCAACUGGAAUUCUCGGUGUAGCGGUGAAAUGCGUAGAUAUCGAGAGGAACACCUGCGGCGAAGGCGGGUUGCUGGGCUGAUACUGACGCUGAGGCGCGAAAGCCAGGGGAGCGAACGGG
Molecule: ribosomal RNA, 254 nt
Filed under: uncultured bacterium
Lineage: Bacteria
Description: partial 16S ribosomal RNA
Rfam family: Bacterial small subunit ribosomal RNA
Source: RNAcentral